Loxodonta africana (African savanna elephant) is the source of this 135-nucleotide small nucleolar RNA. Ensembl annotates it as small nucleolar RNA SNORA42/SNORA80 family. Lineage: Eukaryota; Metazoa; Chordata; Mammalia; Proboscidea; Elephantidae. The record is from Ensembl.
GCAUGGGUUUGGAUUUAUGGCGGGCCAUCCCUGUGGGCCUCUCAGAGUGCCCCACACCGGAGCAAACUGUAACCCCAAACCAUUGCCUGGCCUCCUUGCCCAUAGGCUACAGACACUGAAGCAGGUUGGACAAUA